RNAcentral lists this ribosomal RNA (258 nucleotides) under uncultured soil bacterium. RNAcentral's name for it is "partial 16S ribosomal RNA". It matches the Rfam family "Bacterial small subunit ribosomal RNA", at positions 26 to 285 of the family's 1533-position model. The record is from RNAcentral.
AGGAUGAACGCUGGCGGCGUGCUUAACACAUGCAAGUCACGGGGGUUUGAGGCGCAAGCCUUGAGCAACCGGCGAACGGGUGCGUAACACGUGAGCAACCUACCGAAAUGAGGGGGAUAGCCGGCCCAACGGCCGGGCAAUACCGCAUAAGCUCAGAUCCAGGCAUUUGGGUCUGAGGAAACCUCCGGGGCGUUUCGAGGGGCUCGCGGCCUAUCAGCUAGUUGGCGGGGUAAUGGCUCACCAAGGCGACGACGGGUA